UACGUAGGUGGCAAGCGUUUGUCCGGAAUUAUUGGGCGUAAAGCGCGCGCAGGCGGCCUCUUAAGUCUGAUGUGAAAGCCCCCGGCUCAACCGGGGAGGGCCAUUGGAAACUGGGAGGCUUGAGUAUAGGAGAGAAGAGUGGAAUUCACGUGUAGCGGUGAAAUGCGUAGAGAUGUGGAGGAACACCAGUGGCGAAGGCGACUCUUUUGGCCUAUAACUGACGCUGAGGCGCGAAAGCGUGGGGAGCAAACAGG
This 254-nucleotide ribosomal RNA is filed under the name uncultured bacterium. RNAcentral's name for it is "partial 16S ribosomal RNA". It matches the Rfam family "Bacterial small subunit ribosomal RNA", at positions 524 to 776 of the family's 1533-position model. The record is from RNAcentral.